UGGCGCACGGGUGAGUAACACGUGGGUAAUCUACCUCUUAGUGGGGGAUAUCUCUGGGAAACUAGAGUUAAUACCGCAUAAGUUCGAGAGAAGAAAGCAGCAAUGCGCUAAGAGAGGAGCCCGCGGCCGAUUAGCUAGUUGGUAAGGUAAAGGCUUACCAAGGCUGAGAUCGGUAGCCGGCCUGAGAGGGCACACGGCCACACUGGCACUGAAACACGGGCCAG
This 224-nucleotide ribosomal RNA is filed under the name uncultured bacterium. Its description in RNAcentral is "partial 16S ribosomal RNA". It matches the Rfam family "Bacterial small subunit ribosomal RNA", at positions 96 to 334 of the family's 1533-position model. The record is from RNAcentral.